RNAcentral lists this ribosomal RNA (460 nucleotides) under uncultured bacterium. RNAcentral describes it as "partial 16S ribosomal RNA". It matches the Rfam family "Bacterial small subunit ribosomal RNA", at positions 338 to 795 of the family's 1533-position model. The record is from RNAcentral.
CCUACGGGUGGCAGCAGUGAGGAAUAUUGGUCAAUGGGCGGGAGCCUGAACCAGCCAAGUCGCGUGAGGGAAGACGGUCCUAUGGAUUGUAAACCUCUUUAGGCGGGGAGCAAUGGCGGGGACGUGUCCCGGCCCGGAGAGUACCCGGAGAAAAAGCAUCGGCUAACUCCGUGCCAGCAGCCGCGGUAAUACGGAGGAUGCGAGCGUUAUCCGGAUUUAUGGGGUUUAAAGGGUGCGUAGGCGGGCUGUUAAGUCAGCGGUAAAAAUUCGGGGCUCAACCCCGUCCGGCCGUUGAAACUGGGGGCCUUGAGUGGGCGAGAAGAAGGCGGAAUGCGUGGUGUAGCGGUGAAAUGCAUAGAUAUCACGCAGAACCCCGAUUGCGAAGGCAGCCUUCCGGCGCCCUACUGACGCUGAGGCACGAAAGUGCGGGGAUCGAACAGGAUUAGAUACCCCGGUAGUC